CCCGCCCAUCUGGGCGGAGUGAGGAGGGACUCCGGGGCCCCGCGCCUGUGCGCACGCCCGCGGCCGGUUUGCAGGGCCGGACGCGCGCCCCGCGUCCCGGGCAGGAAGAUGGUGGCGAGCGCGCGGGUGCAGAAGCUGGUGCGGCGCUACAAGCUGGCGAUCGCCACCGCACUGGCCAUCCUGCUGCUGCAGGGCCUGGUGGUGUGGAGCUUCAGCGGCCUGGAGGAGGACGAGCCGGGCGAGAAAGGGAGGCAGAGGAAGCCACGGCCACUAGACCCUGGGGAGGGCUCUAAGGACACAGACAGCUCUGCGGGGCGUAGGGGCAGCGCUGGGAGAAGGCACGGACGCUGGCGGGGCCGCGCUGAGAGCCCAGGUGUGCCCGUGGCCAAGGUGGUGCGGGCAGUAACCAGUCGGCAGAGGGCCAGCCGACGGGUGCCCCCGGCCCCACCUCCGGAGGCACCAGGCCGCCAGAACCUGAGCGGAGCGGCGGCCGGGGAAGCACUGAUAGGGGCCCCAGGCUUCCCACAGCAUGGAGACACAGGGAGUGUGGAGGGUGCCCCCCAGCCCACGGACAACACCUUCACUCCGAAGUGUGAGAUUGUGGGCAAGGACGCACUGUCAGCACUGGCCCGGGCCAGCACCAAGCAGUGUCAACAGGAGAUCGCUAAUGUAGUGUGCCUGCACCAAGCUGGGAACCUAAUGCCCAAGUCUGUGCCCCGGCACUGCCAGCUGGCUGGCAAGAUGAGCCCUGGCGUCCAAUGGGAAGAGAUCCGGGCCCAGCAGCCUGUUGGUGGCCCUCCAGUACGCAUCGCCUACAUGCUGGUGGUUCACGGCCGUGCUAUCCGCCAGCUGAAGCGUCUUCUGAAGGCCGUCUACCAUGAGCAACACUUCUUUUAUAUACAUGUGGACAAGCGUUCCAACUACCUGUACCGGGAGGUAGUGGAACUGGCCCAGCACUACGAGAAUGUGCGGGUGACACCUUGGCGCAUGGUCACCAUCUGGGGCGGGGCCAGCCUUCUGAGGAUGUAUCUGAGGAGCAUGAAGGACCUUCUGGAAAUUCCUGGCUGGACCUGGGACUUCUUCAUCAACCUGAGUGCCACUGACUAUCCAACGAGGACGAAUGAGGAGCUGGUAGCAUUCUUAUCCAAGAACCGGGACAAGAAUUUCCUCAAGUCACAUGGGCGAGACAAUUCCAGGUUCAUUAAGAAGCAAGGCCUGGACCGGCUUUUCCAUGAGUGUGAUUCCCACAUGUGGCGCCUGGGUGAACGGCAGAUCCCGGCAGGCAUUGUGGUGGAUGGUGGCUCUGACUGGUUUGUGCUGACACGCAGCUUUGUGGAAUAUGUGGUGUAUACAGAUGACCCCCUCGUGGCCCAGCUUCGCCAGUUCUAUACAUACACAUUGCUUCCGGCUGAGUCAUUCUUCCACACAGUGCUGGAGAACAGCCCGGCCUGUGCGAGCCUGGUGGACAACAACCUGCGGGUCACCAACUGGAACCGCAAGCUGGGCUGCAAAUGCCAGUACAAGCACAUCGUGGACUGGUGCGGCUGCUCCCCCAACGACUUCAAGCCACAGGACUUCCUGAGGCUUCAGCAAGUCUCCAGACCCACCUUCUUUGCCCGGAAGUUCGAGUCGACUGUGAACCAGGAAGUCCUGGAAAUUUUGGACUUCCAUCUAUAUGGCAGCUACCCACCCAGCACACCAGCCCUCAAAGCCUACUGGGAGAACAUCUACGACGUGGCCGAUGGCCCUGGCGGACUCAGCGACGUCCUACUCACAGCCUACACAGCCUUUGCCCGUCUCAGCCUGCGUCAUGCUGCCACUGCUGUAUCCCCACUGGCCACUGCAGUCUGCAGGUUUGAGCCCAGGGGGUUGCCGUCCAGCGUGCACCUGUAUUUCUAUGACGACCAUUUCCAGGGCUACCUGGUGACGCAGGCGGUGCAGCCCUCAGCCCAGGGGCCAGCAGAGACACUUGAGAUGUGGCUGAUGCCCCAGAGGUCGCUGAAGCUGUUGGGGCACAGUGACCAGGCCAGCCGGCUCCAGAGUCUGGAGGUGGGACAGGUCCUCCCCCCUUGCUUUCUCCUGACCCCCAGCAAGACGCAGGGAGUGGGAAGAGAGGGACAGACACCAAGGGAGGGUUCUAGACCUACCCCUUCAAUUUGAAGAUAGGGAAACUGAGGCCCUGAAAGAAGCAGUGACUGACCUGAGGUUACACCAUGAGGCGGCAUCAGAGCAGAUAGAAGGACUUCUCCCAGGCAUCUGCCCAGCUGCCUCCCUCCCUACAGGUUGGUACUGAGUGGGACCCCAAAGAACGUCUCUUCCGGAACUUUGGGGGCCUGCUGGGACCACUGGAUGAGCCCGUAGCCAUGCAGCGCUGGGCCCGGGGCCCCAACCUCACAGCCACUGUGGUCUGGAUUGACCCCACCUAUGUUGUGGCCACAUCGUAUGACAUCACGGUAGAUGCGGAUACCGAAGUCACGCAGUACAAGCCUCCACUGAGCCUGCCACUGCGGCCGGGAGCCUGGACUGUCCGCUUGCUUCAGUUCUGGGAACCCCUGGGUGAGACCCGCUUCCUCGUGCUGCCGUUGACGUUCAACCGCAAACUACCUCUCAGGAAAGAUGAUGCCAGCUGGCUGCAUGCGGGACCACCCCACAACGAAUACAUGGAGCAGAGUUUCCAGGGCCUAAGUGGCAUCCUGAAUCUGCCUCAGGCAGAGGCCCUGGAGGAGGCUGCCCGGAGGCACACAGAGCUCACGGGUUCUGCACUUGAGGCCUGGACAGAUGGGGAACUGAGCAAUUUCUGGUCUGUGGCAGGAUUGUGUGCCAUAGGACCUUCUGCUUGUCCCUCCCUGGAGCUCUGCAGACUGACCAGCUGGAGCUCUCUGUCUCCUGACCCCAAGUCAGAGCUGGGGCCUGUCAAAGCUGACGGGCGACUCAGGUAGCAGGACCCCAGCCAGCACAACCCGGAGGAGCCGGGGAAUUGCACCUUACAGACAACGGAGGGACAUCUCUCCCACAGACAAGAACCAGAGGCCCAGGCAGUUUGCCCAUUUGAGCCAACAGGAACCUACACUGAGGGCAGGGAAGGUGGGUGCAGUACUCCCUACUGCUAACGGCCCUGCAAGAGACCAGCGGUCCACUGGAGCCAUGAGGAGGAUCUUCCUCUGCUCCUCGUUAGUUUAUACUUUUUUAAUAAUUAAAAUGAGUGGCAGAGGGAGGACGAUGUGCAAUAGGGCUCAGAGCAGCCCCAGGAUAUGGGCCAUGGCCAUGGGGAGCACCACAGAGCAUAUCGGUUUCUGCUCUGGGGAGGCAUGGGCUGCCUCCCUCUCCAGAGCCUCCAUCCCCAGCCUGCAUCUGAACUGCGCACUGCUGAGGCUCUGAGGCCCGGAGGACAGGUGAUCUGUGGGGGCUACUGUGGAGUUGGACUUUAGUGAGCAGGCCUCUCCUCUGGGAGCCAGGGAGCCCUAGAGCAGAGCUGGGGCCGGCUCUCGGGCUUCCCUAGGAAAUGCGCGCCAUCAGGGCCUGCUGAGAUCCAUGAAGUUUCCCUACUGGAGGAGGAAGCCCACUGGCGGCACAGGAAGGCUGUCUGUCAGAGCUCUCACAAGAGUCGAGUUGUGCCUGAAGCUCAGUGCGAAGUCUGAAAUAUGCAACAGAGGAAAUAUAUCUCUAUCUCUCCAAGCUCAA
Mus musculus (house mouse) is the source of this 3681-nucleotide RNA transcript. It is a transcript of the gene named xylosyltransferase II, with no coding region annotated. The transcript has 11 exons. Lineage: Eukaryota; Metazoa; Chordata; Mammalia; Rodentia; Muridae. The record is from RefSeq and is marked validated.